ACAAGCGGUGGAGCAUGUGGUUUAAUUCGAUGGUACGCGAGAAACCUUACCUGGUCUUGACAUCCCGGAGACCCUUAGGAAACUAGGGGGUGCUUCCAUCUGGAAGAAUCUGGAGACAGGUGCUGCAUGGCUGUCGUCAGCUCGUGUCGUGAGAUGUUGGGUUAAGUCCCGCAACGAGCGCAACCCUUGCCUUUAGUUGCCAGCAGUUCGGCUGGGCACUCUAAAGGGACUGCCGGUGUUAAACCGGAGGAAGGUGGGGAUGACGUCAAGUCCUCAUGGCCUUUAUGACCAGGGCUACACACGUACUACAAUGGCCGAUACAAAGGGCAGCGACACUGCGAGGUGAAGCCAAUCCCGUAAAAUCGGUCUCAGUCCGGAUUGGAGUCUGCAACUCGACUCCAUGAAGUUGGAAUCGCUAGUAAUCGUGGAUCAGCAUGCCACGGUGAAUACGUUCCCGGGCCUU
Molecule: ribosomal RNA, 463 nt
Filed under: uncultured Desulfobulbus sp.
Lineage: Bacteria; Pseudomonadati; Thermodesulfobacteriota; Desulfobulbia; Desulfobulbales; Desulfobulbaceae
Description: bacterial SSU rRNA
Rfam family: Bacterial small subunit ribosomal RNA
Source: RNAcentral